Molecule: ribosomal RNA, 468 nt
Filed under: uncultured bacterium
Lineage: Bacteria
Description: partial 16S ribosomal RNA
Rfam family: Bacterial small subunit ribosomal RNA
Source: RNAcentral
GACGAACGCUGGCGGCGUGCUUAACACAUGCAAGUCGAACGGAAAGGCCCUGCUUUUGUGGCGUGCUCGAGUGGCGAACGGGUGAGUAACACGUGAGUAACCUGCCCUUGACUUUGUGAUAACUUCAGGAAACUGGGGCUAAUACCGGAUAGGAUCUCCUGCUGCAUGGUGGGGGUUGGAAAGUUUCGGCGGUUGGGGAUGGACUCGCGGCUUAUCAGCUUGUUGGUGGGGUAGUGGCUUACCAAGGCUUUGACGGGUAGCCGGCCUGAGAGGGUGACCGGCCACAUUGGGACUGAGAUAGGGACCAGAAUCGUACGGGAGGCAGCAGUGGGGAAUAUUGCACAAUGGGCGGAAGCCUGAUGCAGCAACGCCGAGUGCGGGAUGACGGCCUUCGAGUUGUAAACAGCUUUCGCCUGUGACGAAGAGUGAGUGACGGUAAUGGGUAAAGAAGCACCGGCUAACUACGUG